Long non-coding RNA from Erinaceus europaeus (western European hedgehog), 700 nucleotides. RefSeq lists it as uncharacterized. The transcript is spliced from 3 exons. NCBI's taxonomy places the organism in Eukaryota, Metazoa, Chordata, Mammalia, Eulipotyphla, Erinaceidae. The record is from RefSeq and is a predicted model, not a curated record.
ACACAGAUGCAGUGGUGUUAAUCACAUCACUCCCAGAGGCCUAGUUUCACACUUGGUCUCUUCUGAUUGAGCCAUGUCCCCAAUAGGAUUUUUCCAGUCUCUUAUAGGCCCAGAGUCUGGUUGUUUUCAGCUUCCAGGCAGCAAGGAAAUAGCCCACAGACCUCCUGCAACAUCAAGGAACUUGGAACAACAAAUACCAGACAGAUUUUUGACCCAACAUGAAGAGAAGACUGUUAGUUGAGUCCAGCCAGAAGUCAGAAGGCAAACAAGUCUUUCAAUGAGUCAGACCCAGGACAGGCUACCAGGUUCCAAAUGCUACCAUGAUGCCAACCGGACUUCCCUGGGCAGAUGGCCCCACCAAUGUGUCCUGGAGCCCCGCUUCCCCAGAGCCCCGCCCCACUAGGGAAAGAGAGAGGCAGGCUGAGAGUAUGGAUCAACCUGCCAAUGCCCAUGUACAGCCGGGAAGCAAUUACAGAAGCCAGACCUUCCACCUUCUGCACCCCAUAAUAGCCCUGGGUCCAUACUGCCAGAUGGAUAAAGAAUAGGAAAGCUAUCAUGGCAUGGGAUGGGAUAGGGAGUUCUGGUGGUGGGAAUUGUGUGGAGUUGUACCACUCUUAUCCUGUGAUUUUUAUAAAUAAAAAGUAAAGAAAAGAAAAAUAACUCAGUGGGUAGAGUAUAUGGCUUAAAUAUGUGAGGUCCU